Molecule: unclassified non-coding RNA, 373 nt
Filed under: soil metagenome
Description: partial contains 5.8S ribosomal RNA, internal transcribed spacer 2, and large subunit ribosomal RNA
Rfam family: 5.8S ribosomal RNA (bases 1-121)
Source: RNAcentral
GAUGAAGAACGCAGCGAAAUGCGAUAAGUAAUGCGAAUUGCAGAAUCCCAGUGAGUCAUCGAAUCUUUGAACGCACAUUGCGCCCUUUGGUAUUCCGAAGGGCAUGCCUGUUCGAGCGUCAUUAUCACCCCUCAAGCCCUCGGCUUGGUGUUGGACGGUUUGGUGGAGGCCCCCUCGGGGGCUCCUGCCCCUCCCAAAGACAAUGACGGCGGCCUCGUUGGACCCCCGGUACACUGAGUUCUUCACGGGACGCGUAUCGGACACAUGGGUUUACGGGACACGGUCUGCCUCCCCUCAGGGAGAAUCUUUCUAAGGUUGACCUCGGAUCAGGUAGGGAUACCCGCUGAACUUAAGCAUAUCAAUAAGCGGAGGA